CGCGGGGUACAGUAGUGGUUAACUGAACGGCCUCAUAAGCCGAAGCCGUGGGUUCGAAUCCCACCCCCGCUACCA
RNAcentral lists this transfer RNA (75 nucleotides) under subsurface metagenome. Its description in RNAcentral is "tRNA-Met". It matches the Rfam family "tRNA". From Rfam's summary of the family: Transfer RNA (tRNA) molecules are approximately 80 nucleotides in length. Their secondary structure includes four short double-helical elements and three loops (D, anti-codon, and T loops). The record is from RNAcentral.